AGCAGCACCGUCACAUUCAGCACUGUCUGCUGCAGCUGGAGCUGGCCCAGCCGGCUGCUACAGAAAUACCUGCAGCUCAUGGUCCACGUGUUGUGGGGUCACAGGAUGGUUUGGAAGGGACGUCU
This 125-nucleotide small nucleolar RNA is filed under the name Charadrius vociferus (killdeer). Its description in RNAcentral is "Small nucleolar RNA SNORA5". It matches the Rfam family "Small nucleolar RNA SNORA5". From Rfam's summary of the family: ACA5 is a member of the H/ACA class of snoRNA that guide the sites of modification of uridines to pseudouridines. Lineage: Eukaryota; Metazoa; Chordata; Aves; Charadriiformes; Charadriidae. The record is from Rfam by way of RNAcentral.